GUCUACGGCCAUGCCACCCUGAACAAGCCCAAUCCUGUCUGAUCUCGAAAGCUAAGCAGGGUCGAGCCUGGUUAGUACUUGGAUGGGAGACCACCUAGGAAGACCAGGUGCUGUAGGCA
RNAcentral lists this ribosomal RNA (119 nucleotides) under Pteropus alecto (black flying fox). The record is from RNAcentral. Lineage: Eukaryota; Metazoa; Chordata; Mammalia; Chiroptera; Pteropodidae.